UCUACCUGGUGAUCCGGGAUAACACUUCGAAAGGGGUGCUAAUACCUGAUAAGCCCACGGAGUCCUUGGACUCUGCGGGAAAAGGGGGGGACCUUCGGGCCUUCCGUCAUCAGAUGAGUCUGCGUACCAUUAGCUAGUUGGUAGGGUAAAGGCCUACCAAGGCGACGAUGGUUAGCUGGUCUGAGAGGAUGAUCAGCCACACUGGAACUGAGACACGGUCCAGACUCCUACGGGAGGCAGCAGUGGGGAAUUUUGCGCAAUGGGGGAAACCCUGACGCAGCAACGCCGCGUGAGUGAUGAAGGCCCUUGGGUCGUAAAGCUCUGACAGAGGGAAAGAAAUGCAGGGGAGCUAAUAUCUUUCUUGCUUGACGGUACCCUCAAAGGAAGCACCGGCUAACUCCGUGCCAGCAGCCGCGGUAAUACGGGGGGUGCAAGCGUUGUUCGGAUUUAUUGGGCGUAAAGCGCGUGUAGGCGGUUUUAUAAGUCUGAUGUGAAAGCCCUGGGCUCAACCCGGGAAGUGCAUUGGAUACUGUAAGACUUGAAUACGGGAGAGGGUAGUGGAAUUCCUAGUGUAGGAGUGAAAUCCGUAGAUAUUAGGAGGAACACCGGUGGCGAAGGCGGCUACCUGGACCGAUAUUGACGCUGAGACGCGAAAGCGUGGGUAGCAAACAGGAUUAGAUA
Molecule: ribosomal RNA, 681 nt
Filed under: uncultured Geobacter sp.
Lineage: Bacteria; Pseudomonadati; Thermodesulfobacteriota; Desulfuromonadia; Geobacterales; Geobacteraceae
Description: bacterial SSU rRNA
Rfam family: Bacterial small subunit ribosomal RNA
Source: RNAcentral